UAAGUUUUGUUUUUUUAUUUUUAGGUAUUGCAUACCAUUAGAAGAGAAUUUUAUAUAUUUAUAAAAUAUAGAAAAAAAAGGUUGAAUUUUUUAUAGUUUUAUUGUUUCAUAAUAAAAAUUAUAAAAAUUAGGGUUGAAAAGUCGACUUUUUUGGUAUCUGUUUUGAUGUUUUAAUUAGAAAUUUAUUAUUUUUAUUAUUUAUUUUUAUAAAGUUAAAAUUUGAAGUGUUUGUUUUAUUAGUUUUAUAACUAUUUAUUUUUUAGGUUUGGGUUAUUAAGAGUUAUGGUUAAUAAUUUUUUAUUAGCUUAAUUAUUUUUGAAUUAGUAAAUUUUUAAAAUUUUAUGAAAAGUUUUAAUAUAAUAAAAGAAUUAAAAGUUUAAUCAAAUGUUUUUUAAAGACUUAGACUUUUUUAUAAAGUUUGCUUCUGCCCCAUGAAUUUUUAAAUGGCAGUCUUAGCGUGAGGACAUUAAGGUAGCAAAAUAAUUUGUGCCUUUAUUAGGUGUCAGUAUGAAUGAAGUUAUUGGUUAAUUAUUUUUUAUUUUUUUUUUUGAAUUUUUUAUUAGUAUAAAAAAUUUUUAUUGUAAUUAUACAAAGAUAAGUCUUCGGAAAUUCUUUUUUGGUUUAAUUUUAGUUUUGUUUAUUUUUAAAAUUUUCUAGGGCAGAAUUUUAUGUAAUUAUUUAUAUCUAUUAAUAAUUUUUUGAAUUACUCCGGAGUUAACAGAAAAUCAUACCUAAUUUAGAUCUUAUAAUAAGGUAAGUUUUACAUCGAUGUUGUAUUUAAGUUUGUUAAAGAGGGAGAAGAUUUAAUUUUUGAGACUGUUCUUCUUUUAUUUAACUUAACGUGAUAUUAGUUUAAUUCAUUGUGAGAUAGAAUUGUUUAUCUUGUUAAUUACUAUAUUGUAUUUUUAAUAGUACGAAAGGAAAAUUAAAAAAAGUUUUAAACUUUUUUGGUAUAAAACCA
Molecule: ribosomal RNA, 961 nt
Filed under: Bunostomum trigonocephalum (sheep hookworm)
Lineage: Eukaryota; Metazoa; Nematoda; Chromadorea; Rhabditida; Ancylostomatidae
Description: 16S ribosomal RNA
Source: RNAcentral